UACCAGUUCUUGCAUAGCCAAUCCCUCUAUUUAAUAAAUAAGGAGAAAGUAUUUAUUUAUAUAAAUAGUAAUUUGUAUUAUUAUUUUUAUUAUAUUGUUUUUUCUACGUAGUUUUUUAUUUAAGACUGGAUUGAGUGAUAGUUAUUUAUAAAUAAGUUAUUUUACUUUUUUUGUUUUUCCAUAUUUAAUAUACACCUUUGCAGUUAUAUUUAGCCCUAGGGAGGAGCAUACUACUUUUCCUUUGCAAAGCAAAGACAAAAGGAAAAGUGUUCCUACAUAGGAUUGAUAGUAAUAAGGCAAAAGUNNNNAUAGAAAUGGAG
RNAcentral lists this ribosomal RNA (320 nucleotides) under Hebeloma crustuliniforme. RNAcentral's name for it is "partial small subunit ribosomal RNA". Lineage: Eukaryota; Fungi; Basidiomycota; Agaricomycetes; Agaricales; Hymenogastraceae. The record is from RNAcentral.